RNAcentral lists this long non-coding RNA (759 nucleotides) under Monodelphis domestica (gray short-tailed opossum). RNAcentral's name for it is "lncRNA (ENSMODG00000045790.1)". Lineage: Eukaryota; Metazoa; Chordata; Mammalia; Didelphimorphia; Didelphidae. The record is from RNAcentral.
GAUACGCAUAAAAAAGGUGAUGAGACUCCAAAUUUUUUUCCUUUAGAAUCUUUCUGUUCUAUUUACAGGAGUAUAUUGGAUGCAAGGGAAACUAAUGGAUAUCAUGAGGAGACAAAAAAUGCCCAAGUCUGCAAGAACACGUUGCAGGUUCGUCGUUACUCAGGAUGACUCUUCAUGGACAGGAGGAGACUAUUCUGGGAAAAAGCAAAGAAACUGAGCCUCAAGGAAAUAAGGAGAUUAAUUCAAAGAUAUACAGCAAAAAGUAUGAUAGAAACCAAGAUUUGAAUCAAGGUCUUCAUCACUCCAAAUCCUAUCCUCUUUCCAUGGUCCUACCUUGCCACUCACUAAUAAGGAAACUGAGGCUUGGACAUUUGGAAUUAAUAACUCCAAAAAAAAAAAAACAUAAGUAAGAAUGAGAUCCAUAUAAAACCAGGAGGUAAGACAUGAUGGUCUCUGAGAUCUCUUUCAGUUAAAAACUGAAGAUCUUCUCAUCCUUUGAACUUCUUAUUGCAAAAACCAUCACUCUUCCUGUUAUCCCACUGCUCCCAAGAGCCAUAAAUGAAGAAUCAAUGGAAAUAUCUAAACAGGCAUGAAUGGGGUCCUGGGUAACCUAUGAUGUAAAAUUGGAGGUUCAAAUGAAUUGAAUUUUAUUUCCUGUCUCCUAAUCAUUUGCAUGUUGCUUAAUCUAUUCACAACUGUAAACAAAUGGUGCAUAAUUUGUGGCAAUCAUACUAAGAACAUAUGAAGGUAUAACAACAU